CGGGGCUUGAAGUCUUGUAAUUGGAAUGAUGGGAAUUUAAACCCCUUCCAGAGUAUCAAUUGGAGGGCAAGUCUGGUGCCAGCAGCCGCGGUAAUUCCAGCUCCAAUAGCGUAUAUUAAACUUGUUGCAGUUAAAAAGCUCGUAGUUGAAUUUCUGCUGCAUCGUGGUUCUUCGCCAUGUCGAGUGAUCUUCGUUGUGGCUUAGUUGGGGCAUGUUUUCAUGACUCGACGUUUACUUUGAGAAAAUUAGAGUGCUUCAAGCAGGCUUUUGCCUUGAAUACUUUAGUAUGGAAUAAUGGAGUAGGACUUUGGUUCUAUUUUGUUGGUUUUAGGAGCCGGAGUAAUGGUUAAUAGGAACAGUUGGGGGCAUUCGUAUUUGACUGUCAGAGGUGAAAUUCUUAGAUUUGUCAAAGACGAACUACUGCGAGAGCAUUUGCCAAGGAUGUUUCCAUUAAUCAAGAAC
This 462-nucleotide ribosomal RNA is filed under the name Theileria equi. Its description in RNAcentral is "SSU rRNA". It matches the Rfam family "Eukaryotic small subunit ribosomal RNA", at positions 486 to 984 of the family's 1831-position model. The record is from RNAcentral. Lineage: Eukaryota; Apicomplexa; Aconoidasida; Piroplasmida; Theileriidae.